UAAAAGGCCCUUUUCAGGGCCACUACCAAAUGUCAACGGAAUGGGAU
Molecule: non-coding RNA, 47 nt
Organism: Drosophila busckii
Lineage: Eukaryota; Metazoa; Arthropoda; Insecta; Diptera; Drosophilidae
Source: Rfam